Molecule: long non-coding RNA, 192 nt
Organism: Centruroides sculpturatus (bark scorpion)
Lineage: Eukaryota; Metazoa; Arthropoda; Arachnida; Scorpiones; Buthidae
Exons: 2
Source: RefSeq, a predicted model, not a curated record
GAAAACCUCGUCUAGGAAAAUCUUUAUCGAUCUAAAAGAAAAGAAUAUUUUUACAUAUAACAAGAUACAAAGAUACGUGAUAUUUGGCUUUUUAGGGUUUAAUAAAGAGUUUCUUUGCUGAAAUGGAUGAUGUUAAGAGCCGAAAGAAACAUCAAAAUGAGUAAAUUCCCCAACCACAAAAAAAAAAAAAAA